Molecule: ribosomal RNA, 253 nt
Filed under: uncultured bacterium
Lineage: Bacteria
Description: partial 16S ribosomal RNA
Rfam family: Bacterial small subunit ribosomal RNA
Source: RNAcentral
GACGAAGGGGGCUAGCGUUGUUCGGAAUUACUGGGCGUAAAGGGCUCGUAGGCGGCCAACUAAGUCGGAUGUGAAAUCCCCAGGCUCAACCUGGGAACUGCAUCCGAUACUGGAUGGCUUGAAUUCGGGAGAGGGAUGCAGAAUUCCAGGUGUAGCGGUGAAAUGCGUAGAUAUCUGGAGGAAUACCGGUGGCGAAGGCGGCAUCCUGGACCGACAUUGACGCUGAGGAGCGAAAGCCAGGGGAGCAAACGGG